GAUGAAGAACGCAGCGAAAUGCGAUAAGUAAUGUGAAUUGCAGAAUUCAGUGAAUCAUCGAAUCUUUGAACGCACAUUGCGCCCGCCAGUAUUCUGGCGGGCAUGCCUGUUCGAGCGUCAUUACAACCCUCAGGCCCCCGGGCCUGGCGUUGGGGAUCGGCGGAGCCCCCCGUGGGCACACGCCGUCCCCCAAAUACAGUGGCGGUCCCGCCGCAGCUUCCAUCGCGUAGUAGCUAACACCUCGCGACUGGAGAGCGGCGCGGCCACGCCGUAAAACACCCAACUCUUCUGAAGUUGACCUCGAAUCAGGUAGGAAUACCCGCUGAACUUAAGCAUAUCAAUAAGCGGGGGA
This 352-nucleotide unclassified non-coding RNA is filed under the name soil metagenome. Its description in RNAcentral is "partial contains 5.8S ribosomal RNA, internal transcribed spacer 2, and large subunit ribosomal RNA". The stretch from base 1 to 120 matches the Rfam family "5.8S ribosomal RNA", at positions 35 to 154 of the family's 154-position model. The record is from RNAcentral.